RNAcentral lists this ribosomal RNA (491 nucleotides) under Aureobasidium pullulans. RNAcentral describes it as "eukaryotic LSU rRNA". The stretch from base 133 to 286 matches the Rfam family "5.8S ribosomal RNA". Lineage: Eukaryota; Fungi; Ascomycota; Dothideomycetes; Dothideales; Saccotheciaceae. The record is from RNAcentral.
CUACCUUGUUGCUUUGGCGGGACCGCUCGGUCUCGAGCCGCUGGGGAUUCGUCCCAGGCGAGCGCCCGCCAGAGUUAAACCAAACUCUUGUUAUUUAACCGGUCGUCUGAGUUAAAAUUUUGAAUAAAUCAAAACUUUCAACAACGGAUCUCUUGGUUCUCGCAUCGAUGAAGAACGCAGCGAAAUGCGAUAAGUAAUGUGAAUUGCAGAAUUCAGUGAAUCAUCGAAUCUUUGAACGCACAUUGCGCCCCUUGGUAUUCCGAGGGGCAUGCCUGUUCGAGCGUCAUUACACCACUCAAGCUAUGCUUGGUAUUGGGCGUCGUCCUUAGUUGGGCGCGCCUUAAAGACCUCGGCGAGGCCACUCCGGCUUUAGGCGUAGUAGAAUUUAUUCGAACGUCUGUCAAAGGAGAGGAACUCUGCCGACUGAAACCUUUAUUUUUCUAGGUUGACCUCGGAUCAGGUAGGGAUACCCGCUGAACUUAAGCAUAUCA